AUAUUGGCGAGAGACCGAUAGCGAACAAGUACCGUGAGGGAAAGAUGAAAAGCACUUUGGAAAGAGAGUUAAACAGUACGUGAAGUUGUUGAAAGGGAAACGCUUGAAGUCAGUCGCGUUGUCUGGAACUCAGCCUUGCUUGCAUGGUGUACUUUCCAGUUAACGGGUCAACAUCAAUUUUGGUUGGUGGAUAAAGGUAGAGGGGAUGUGGCAUCUUCGGAUGUGUUAUAGCCCUUUGCUGCAUACACUGACUGGGAUUGAGGUCUGCAGCACGCCGUCAUGGCCGGGGGUUCGCCCUACGUAACGUGCUUAGGAUGCUGGCAUAAUGGCUUUAAACGACCCGUCUUGAAACACGGACC
Molecule: ribosomal RNA, 359 nt
Filed under: uncultured fungus
Lineage: Eukaryota; Fungi
Description: LSU rRNA
Rfam family: Eukaryotic large subunit ribosomal RNA
Source: RNAcentral